AUGAACGCUGGCGGCGUGCCUAAUACAUGCAAGUCGAGCGGACAGACGAGGAGCUUGCUCCUCUGACGUUAGCGGCGGACGGGUGAGUAACACGUGGAUAACCUACCUAUAAGACUGGGAUAACUUCGGGAAACCGGAGCUAAUACCGGAUAAUAUAUUGAACCGCAUGGUUCAAUAGUGAAAGACGGUUUUGCUGUCACUUAUAGAUGGAUCCGCGCCGCAUUAGCUAGUUGGUAAGGUAACGGCUUACCAAGGCAACGAUGCGUAGCCGACCUGAGAGGGUGAUCGGCCACACUGGAACUGAGACACGGUCCAGACUCCUACGGGAGGCAGCAGUAGGGAAUCUUCCGCAAUGGGCGAAAGCCUGACGGAGCAACGCCGCGUGAGUGAUGAAGGUCUUCGGAUCGUAAAACUCUGUUAUUAGGGAAGAACAAAUGUGUAAGUAACUAUGCACGUCUGGACGGUACCUAAUCAGAAAGCCACGGCUAACUACGU
This 495-nucleotide ribosomal RNA is filed under the name uncultured bacterium. RNAcentral describes it as "partial 16S ribosomal RNA". It matches the Rfam family "Bacterial small subunit ribosomal RNA", at positions 29 to 506 of the family's 1533-position model. The record is from RNAcentral.